UCUGGUGCCAGCAGCCGCGGUAAUUCCAGCUCCAAUAGCGUAUAUUAAAGUUGUUGCAGUUAAAAAGCUCGUAGUUGAAUUUCGAGAUCAAUAUGUCGGUCGUGCCUCGGUACGUACUGGCAUCGUUGGUUUCUACCUUCUGAUGAACCAUAAUGCCAUUCAUUUGGUGUUUUGGGGAAUCAGGACUGUUACUUUGAAAAAAUUAGAGU
This 209-nucleotide ribosomal RNA is filed under the name Glomeraceae sp. RNAcentral describes it as "partial small subunit ribosomal RNA". It matches the Rfam family "Eukaryotic small subunit ribosomal RNA", at positions 560 to 772 of the family's 1831-position model. The record is from RNAcentral. Lineage: Eukaryota; Fungi; Glomeromycota; Glomeromycetes; Glomerales; Glomeraceae.